This 448-nucleotide ribosomal RNA is filed under the name uncultured bacterium. Its description in RNAcentral is "partial 16S ribosomal RNA". It matches the Rfam family "Bacterial small subunit ribosomal RNA", at positions 331 to 794 of the family's 1533-position model. The record is from RNAcentral.
CCAGACUCCUACGGGAGGCAGCAGUGGGGAAUAUUGCACAAUGGGGGGAACCCUGAUGCAGCGACGCCGCGUGGGCGAGGAAGUAUUUCGGUAUGUAAAGCCCUAUCGGCAGGGAAGAAGAAAUGACGGUACCUGAAGAAGAAGCCCCGGCUAACUACGUGCCAGCAGCCGCGGUAAUACGUAGGGGGCAAGCGUUAUCCGGAUUUACUGGGUGUAAAGGGGGCGCAGACGGCGAUGCAAGCCAGGAGUGAAAGCCCGGGGCCCAACCCCGGGACUGCUCUUGGAACUGCGUGGCUGGAGUGCAGGAGGGGCAGGCGGAAUUCCUGGUGUAGCGGUGAAAUGCGUAGAUAUCAGGAGGAACACCGGUGGCGAAGGCGGCCUGCUGGACUGCAACUGACGUUGAGGCCCGAAAGCGUGGGGAGCAAACAGGAUUAGAUACCCGUGUAUA